Molecule: ribosomal RNA, 253 nt
Filed under: uncultured bacterium
Lineage: Bacteria
Description: partial 16S ribosomal RNA
Rfam family: Bacterial small subunit ribosomal RNA
Source: RNAcentral
UACGUAGGGUGCAAGCGUUAAUCGGAAUUACUGGGCGUAAAGCGUGCGCAGGCGGCUUUGCAAGACAGAUGUGAAAUCCCCGGGCUCAACCUGGGAACUGCAUUUGUGACUGCAUGGCUUGAGUGCGGCAGAGGGGGAUGGAAUUCCGCGUGUAGCAGUGAAAUGCGUAGAUAUGCGGAGGAACACCGAUGGCGAAGGCAAUCCCCCGGGCCUGCACUGACGCUCAUGCACGAAAGCGUGGGGAGCAAACAGG